CCCUAGUAGCGGCGAGCGAAGCGGGAAGAGCUCAAAUUUAUAAUCUGGCACCUUCGGUGUCCGAGUUGUAAUCUCUAGAAAUGUUUUCCGCGUUGGACCGCACACAAGUCUGUUGGAAUACAGCGGCAUAGUGGUGAGACCCCCGUAUAUGGUGCGGACGCCCAGCGCUUUGUGAUACAUUUUCGAAGAGUCGAGUUGUUUGGGAAUGCAGCUCAAAUUGGGUGGUAAAUUCCAUCUAAAGCUAAAUAUUGGCGAGAGACCGAUAGCGAACAAGUACCGUGAGGGAAAGAUGAAAAGCACUUUGGAAAGAGAGUUAACAGUACGUGAAAUUGUUGGAAGGGAAACGCUUGAAGUCAGACUUGCUUGCCGAGCAAUCGGUUUGCAGGCCAGCAUCAGUUUUCCGGGAUGGAUAAUGGUAGAGAGAAGGUAGCAGUUUCGGCUGUGUUAUAGCUCUCUGCUGGAUACAUCUUGGGGGACUGAGGAACGCAGUGUGCCUUUGGCGGGGGUUUCGACCUCUUCACACUUAGGAUGCUGGUGGAAUGGCUUUAAACGGUCCGUCUUGAAA
This 565-nucleotide ribosomal RNA is filed under the name Rhodotorula mucilaginosa. RNAcentral's name for it is "eukaryotic LSU rRNA". It matches the Rfam family "Eukaryotic large subunit ribosomal RNA", at positions 78 to 659 of the family's 3401-position model. The record is from RNAcentral. Lineage: Eukaryota; Fungi; Basidiomycota; Microbotryomycetes; Sporidiobolales; Sporidiobolaceae.